Molecule: long non-coding RNA, 707 nt
Filed under: Helianthus annuus (common sunflower)
Lineage: Eukaryota; Viridiplantae; Streptophyta; Magnoliopsida; Asterales; Asteraceae
Description: hypothetical non coding rna
Source: RNAcentral
UUUAACCAUUGUUAGUUAAUCACACAAUAGAACUUAUAAACAAGUGCCAAAAUCAAAACAAACAAAGCUUGGUGACCAAUUGAAAUAAUCACAGGUACAGGAACAGGUGGAGGAUUAUACAUAAACGCCAUUGAAACACAAUCAUCUCCUUCACCUGGCCUUCCCAUCACAUGCUUAUAUCUCCCUUCACUCCAUCUCUGCAACCGAUCACCAAUGGUGAUCACCAACGCGCCUUUCUCAGGACAAAACGACACCAAACCUUUCUUCGAGUAGACAUGAAACUCGGAUCCACUGCAUAUGUGAACACAUAGCGUGUGGGAAUGUUGGGAUCCUCUUAUCAGCAUCCGAAUCAUGUCGUAUUUUAAAGAAAGUAGCAAAUGGAUUCGGCAGUUUGUUUGUCGCUUGCUUUAGCAUCGUGAAGUACUGAUAUUGUUCCUUGGGUGUUGUUGAGUAGAAACUUCAGGAUGAUUUUGCAUAUCUUCUCGAUUUCGGACGUAAGAAUCUCGACGUUUUCACUGUACGUUUAAGAGUUUAAUUCGUGCAAAUGUUCAGGGUCUCAAUUCGUGUUAUGAAUUUGAAAUUAUGAAUGAUAUGAUAAUUACUCUAUUCAUGUUAUCAUUUUCGCUGUAAGUUAAAUUCGUGCAAAUGUUGAAUGUCUCAAUUCCGAAUUUGAAAUUAUAAAUGAUAGAAUGAUUUUUUUUCUUUUU